CGCCGAUGGACCACCGCUCGCAGCGCGCUCCCUCCUACUCGAACCUCUUCAAUCUUGAGUCUUUGACGAACUUUCGACUUCCCUGUCCGGACGAUGAUCGCGAUACCUAUAGCAAUAAUAGUCACCAUGAGAGCAGAAGUAGUCAAGACGAGGGGACCAUACGGGAUCGUUAUAACGGGGCCAUCACGAGUAGGUCUUCGGAACGUGCAAG
This 211-nucleotide unclassified non-coding RNA is filed under the name Hevea brasiliensis (rubber tree). The record is from RNAcentral. Lineage: Eukaryota; Viridiplantae; Streptophyta; Magnoliopsida; Malpighiales; Euphorbiaceae.